UACGGAAGGCAGCAGUGGGGAAUAUUGCACAAUGGGCGCAAGCCUGAUGCAGCCAUGCCGCGUGUAUGAAGAAGGCCUUCGGGUUGUAAAGUACUUUCAGUCGUGAGGAAGGUGUUAAGGUUAAUAACCUUAGCAAUUGACGUUAGCGACAGAAGAAGCACCGGCUAACUCCGUGCCAGCAGCCGCGGUAAUACGGAGGGUGCGAGCGUUAAUCGGAAUUACUGGGCGUAAAGGGCACGCAGGCGGUUAAUUAAGUUGGAUGUGAAAUCCCCGGGCUUAACCUGGGAAUGGCAUUCAAGCUGGUUAGCUAGAGUCUUGUAGAGGGGGUAGAAUUCCAUGUGUAGCGGUGAAAUGCGUAGAGAUGUGGAGGAAUACCGGUGGCGAAGGCGGCCCCUGGCAAAGACUGACGCUCAUGUGCGAAAGCGUGGGGAGCAAACAGGGAUUAGAUACC
This 451-nucleotide ribosomal RNA is filed under the name uncultured bacterium. Its description in RNAcentral is "bacterial SSU rRNA". It matches the Rfam family "Bacterial small subunit ribosomal RNA", at positions 340 to 786 of the family's 1533-position model. The record is from RNAcentral.